Molecule: long non-coding RNA, 292 nt
Filed under: Manihot esculenta (cassava)
Lineage: Eukaryota; Viridiplantae; Streptophyta; Magnoliopsida; Malpighiales; Euphorbiaceae
Description: long non-coding RNA (MESC_LNC006568)
Source: RNAcentral
CUCAGAACGGUAAAGAUGAUAACAGAUGAGCUAGGAGCAAGUGACAGUAGAGCCAUUCAGAUGGCAGGGUUCACAUUGAAAUGCAAGAAGGCAAGGGAAUGGUUCAAAAACUAUGUGGACCCAAGGUUGGAGAGCUUAUCCUGGGAGCAGUUUGCCAAUGAGUUUGCAGGAUGGGCUUUUCCAGAUAGUUCCAGAGAACUGAAGAUGAUUGAGUUUGAGCAGCUAAGGCAGACGGAAGAGAUGAGCGUAGAGGAGUUCACGGACAGGUUCCUGGAGCUGUUGCCGUUUGCAG